Molecule: ribosomal RNA, 253 nt
Filed under: uncultured bacterium
Lineage: Bacteria
Description: partial 16S ribosomal RNA
Rfam family: Bacterial small subunit ribosomal RNA
Source: RNAcentral
UACGAAGGUGGCAAGCGUUGUUCGGAUUUACUGGGCGUACAGGGAGCGUAGGCGGUUGGAUAAGCCCUCCGUGAAAUCUCCAGGCUUAACCUGGAAAGUGCAGAGGGGACUGUUCAGCUAGAGGAUGGGAGAGGAGCGCGGAAUUCCCGGUGUAGCGGUGAAAUGCGUAGAGAUCGGGAGGAAGGCCGGUGGCGAAGGCGGGUCUCUGGACAGUUCCUGACACUGAGGCACGAAGGCCAGGGGAGCAAACGGG